UUAAGUAACACCAGCUGCCUGCAAUUACUGCAAGUUCAAAUCUCACCAGGCUCAAGGUUGACUCAGCCUUCCAUCCUUUCGAGACAAAGAGGAUGGCAAUAAGAGCACUCUGGACAACUGAGAAUAACAAGCAACCUUGAAAAGGAAAUAAAAUUGAGCCAGAAAUCAAAAUAUAUUCCAGUUCCUUCAGAAAAGCACACAAUUCUCCUUCUCCAGCAG
Long non-coding RNA from Pantherophis guttatus, 219 nucleotides. RefSeq lists it as uncharacterized. Lineage: Eukaryota; Metazoa; Chordata; Lepidosauria; Squamata; Colubridae. The record is from RefSeq and is a predicted model, not a curated record.